GCACCCUUAGCUCAGUUGGAUAGAGCGCUGGCCUCCGAAGCCAGAGGUCGCCGGUUCAAAUCCGGUGGGGUGCG
This 74-nucleotide transfer RNA is filed under the name Clostridiales bacterium. Its description in RNAcentral is "tRNA-Arg". It matches the Rfam family "tRNA". From Rfam's summary of the family: Transfer RNA (tRNA) molecules are approximately 80 nucleotides in length. Their secondary structure includes four short double-helical elements and three loops (D, anti-codon, and T loops). The record is from RNAcentral. Lineage: Bacteria; Bacillati; Bacillota; Clostridia; Eubacteriales.